This 1766-nucleotide long non-coding RNA is filed under the name Sorghum bicolor (sorghum). RNAcentral's name for it is "long non-coding RNA (SBIC_LNC001552)". The record is from RNAcentral. Lineage: Eukaryota; Viridiplantae; Streptophyta; Magnoliopsida; Poales; Poaceae.
GCAAAUUAUUCUCAAACUGUGUUUUUAGUUUCGUUCACGUGGAAUGACGUCCCAACUCCCAACGGCCUGUUCUGAAUAAAACGAACGUGACCUUACUUGCGUGUACGAUUUACCGUUAUUCGAUCUGUCUAGUACCAUGCGAGAAUACGUACGAAUGCCCAUCCUUUUAAUUUAGGCCUUGUUUAGUUCACCCCACAUCGAAUCUUGCGACACAUGCAUAAAGCAUCAAAUAUAGACGAAAAUAAAAACUAAUUACACAGUUUGUCUGUAAAUCGCGAGACGAAUCUUUUGAUCCUAGUUAGUUUAUGAUUGCAUAAUAUUUAUCAAAUAAAAACGAAAGUACUACAGUAGCGAAAUUCAAAAUUUUUUCGGAACUAAAUAAGGCCUUAGCUUUUCUCUAGUUUUUUUUUUUUUUACCUUUCCUCGUAAUAUAAAUCUGAGGCGGAACCGGGCCCUGGAGUACAAAUUAUCGGACAGUGAGGUCACAGGUCACCGGCCCAGCCCAUCCCACCCGUCUACUCUAGGUCGUGGGCCGCGGUGCGCCUCGCGGCCUGCUCGCAGCCGCGGAACGAAGGGCGUCGACCGCUGCUGCGCUCAAGUGAACGACGACCGACCCUUUCUUUCACUUUGGUCUUUGGACCGUGCGAACGUCUGACCGACCCGUGUCCAGUUUUGGUUCUGCUUCUGCGGAGUACUACUCCUUAUCUUGCGUUGUGGGGUGACGAGGGUCGAGCAGCAGGACCCAGGACGCCAUCCCGUGCCUCGCUGACACAAGGCGACAACGGCAAAGCCAGCUAUAAAUUUUAGUUGGCUAAAUAUUACAAAUUAAAGCCAAAUCUUAUUUACCCCAUGAGAUGAUUACCUCCCUCAAGUUAACUCUCGUAUCUGCAGAGCUUUGUUUGUUUGCUUGAUAAGUCAUAAUAGAAAAUAUUAUUGUUUGAUUUAUUAUGGUAGAAAAAUAUUGUUGAAUAACUAAUAGAUUUGGAUUACAAGCUCAAGCGAACAAUCUGGUAUCUACAUAGGCCUUGUUUACUUCCCCAAACAUUGGCGGACGCACGAGGGAGGCUGCAGCCCCCCUCUUGGGCUGAAAUUUUUUUUUGACAUGUUUUCUUUUUUAGCAAAAAACUCUAUAUGAUUCUAAAAAAAAAAGCAAAAGACUCUAUAUAUUUGGUAUUUUUCUAUGCUUAUUUUAUAAAUCUUUGUCUUUAAACACUUUGAAUCAAUAUUGAAUUAUCAAUCUUACCUAUAACUAUUAGGCCUUGUUUAGUUUCCAAAAUAUUUUGUAAAAUUUCUCAGAUUUCCCAUCACAUAUAAUCUUGCGGCACAUACAUGAAUCACUAAAUAUAGAUAAAAGAAAUAACUAAUUACACAGUCUGUCUGUAAUUUGCGAGACAAAUCUUUUGAGCCUAGUUAGUCCAUGAUCGGACAAUAUUUGUCAAAUACAAACGAAAAUGCUACUAUUCCUAUUUUGCAAAAAAAUUUGGAACUAAACAAGGCCUUAGUGUACUGAAUUGAGCGAGAAAAAAAUAGCAUGUAUUAUUUAGCUCCCCUCUUGGUCCAUUUCUAGAUCCGCCACUGUCCCCAAAUAUUUACAAAAUGCAUCAAAUUUUGUAGCUAAUAUUUAUUAAAUACAAACAAAAAUACUAUUAUUUAUAUGUUGUAAAACUUUUUACAAGUAAACAAGGCCAUAAAAAGGAAAGUAGUAAAAUGCGCUCCCCGAGAAAAUAGCGAGUAAUAAAGAAUUCGAAUAAAUCUCCCGGCUCCAC